This 1155-nucleotide long non-coding RNA is filed under the name Helianthus annuus (common sunflower). Its description in RNAcentral is "hypothetical non coding rna". Lineage: Eukaryota; Viridiplantae; Streptophyta; Magnoliopsida; Asterales; Asteraceae. The record is from RNAcentral.
UUUAAUAUGUUUAUAUUGAUUGUUGGUUAUUCUUCGUUGGGGUUGUUGUGGUUGAAUUCUUAGUAGAAUCAGGUUAUUGAAUCGAAGAACAGUGUGUGUGUUUAUUGUUUAUUAGAAGAGAGUGAGGGGGGAAACAAAGUAGAAGAUUUGAUAGGUUACUAGUUAGUGUUUCACGAUUCCAAUAAAAAGAUUUUCGACAGAGUGUGUAAAGAGUAGUUUUGACUUUGUAAACAAAAGUCAACCAUUCAUGUGAUAGAAGCAGAGUUCGACUGUAUUUCUAUUGUGUCAAUGUUGAAAAUUUUGAAUCUAUAUGAUCAUUAUAGGUGUUUGUUGCAAGGGUAAAGGGAAAUUGAUAUAUUGAUCUCUAAUAUGGACCAAAAUAUUGCAAAUCUACACAAGUAUACUCAUUUUGGUUAGUUUAAUUCUGAUAAUUUGUUGGACAUUGACAUUCAUCACAUGUUCUGCAGAUUGCCAAAUUGUGUCUAAUAGUUAAAAGAGAGUGAAAGAGAGGAACAGAGAAAGAGAUGGAGAGUCGGUAGAUUACGGCCAAGUUUUCGGUCGUUGAUGCCACUUCCGACACGUGGAUCGGCUCAACCUUGGUACAAGAGGAUGGGGAUUUUUACCGUCCAAAACUAAAGCACAAAGGCUGGAAUUUAUAUGAUUAAAGACCCAUUUUAAUCAAUAGCGGUCCCUAAUCUUGAUAAAGAGAUAAUUAAGAAGCAGGUCAAAAUAUUCAAGAGGCCCUAAAGUGGAAAAGAUGCAACAAGGAAAAAUGGUAUAAGCUAAAGGUAUUGAUUCUGGUGUUAGGAAAAAUUUAAAGGGUGUCUCUCUUAUGCCUAAUAUUGGUUACGAGUCAGACAAAAAGACCCACCAUUUUCUUCCAACUGGUACUAAGAAGUUUGUGGAAUUGUGGUGCAUAAUGCCAAAGAGUUGGAACUUUUCAUGAUGCACAACAGGUUGGCGAGAAAAAGAUGAUUACACGAAUGCGGAUGUUGAUGGAAUACGCGAACAAGGGUUGAGUUUUGAGAUGAUUUUUAUUUUUAGGUGACAAACAAUUUCUUCAAACGUUAUUUUUGUUAACGUUAAGAUAUUUGUAGUAUACUUAUAAAUGAUUAUGCAAUGGGUUGUUUUGAUAUAUAUAUUUAUUUUGUUAUG